Molecule: ribosomal RNA, 433 nt
Filed under: uncultured bacterium
Lineage: Bacteria
Description: bacterial SSU rRNA
Rfam family: Bacterial small subunit ribosomal RNA
Source: RNAcentral
UGAGGAAUAUUGGUCAAUGGGCGAGAGCCUGAACCAGCCAAGCCGCGUGAGGGAUGAAGGCCCUAUGGGUCGUAAACCUCUUUUGUCAGGGAACAAAAGGCGCCACGUGUGGCGCUCCGAGUGUACCUGAAGAAAAAGCAUCGGCUAACUCCGUGCCAGCAGCCGCGGUAAUACGGAGGAUGCGAGCGUUAUCCGGAUUUAUUGGGUUUAAAGGGUGCGUAGGCGGCGAUGCAAGUCAGCGGUAAAAGCCCGGGGCUCAACCCCGGCGAGCCGUUGAAACUGCAGUGCUAGAGAAGGCGAGAGGUACGCGGAAUGCGCAGUGUAGCGGUGAAAUGCUUAGAUAUUGCGCAGAACUCCGAUUGCGAAGGCAGCGUACUGGCGCCUGACUGACGCUGAGGCACGAAAGCGUGGGGAUCGAACAGGAUUAGAUACC